Molecule: long non-coding RNA, 1431 nt
Organism: Diachasmimorpha longicaudata
Lineage: Eukaryota; Metazoa; Arthropoda; Insecta; Hymenoptera; Braconidae
Exons: 3
Source: RefSeq, a predicted model, not a curated record
ACGUGCUAUUAUAUUCAGCAGUCAAGGGCUGCUUUCGCAUUUGUUCAACUUAUAUAUAAGUUCCCUAACUUGCAUGCAGCCCAGAUUUGAGAAAUAAAUGUAUUAAUAAAUAGUUUGACGCCUAUGGAAUACUCUCCAAUGAAAAAUGCAUUCUAACUCAUUGCAGUUUCUUUUUAACAAUCAAUCGAAAAUUGCAUAAUUUUGAACCACGUCUUAACGCUCGUGACGUCAUCAGGCGGUGACUCCGGGUUCUUAUCGGAGUCGCUAGAUGACAGCAGUGAUGUUUUUCUAAAUGCAGCCGGUGUCAACAUACAGCAGAGGUUAUAUUGUUAAAUAUAAAUAAAUAACAGUUUUUACGUGAAGUGAAUUUCUUUGGUGCUGUGAAAAAUGAGAUCGACAAUGGAAGGGAAUUUUGAAACAGCGUCUUCUCAGAAUCUACCAAAAGUGGAUGUUGAAAUGCUCGCAGUUUUUUUAAGAUCAAAUUUGUGUCUGAGUGCGGAAAACAGAGGUGUCAAAGCCGGCAGGAGUCUAUGAUCCGGUGGAUGGCACCACAUGAGGAAGUAUAGGACCCACCUGAUGACGUCAUGAGAGCUUUUGGAGCAUUUGAAAAAAAAAUUAAAAUUUUUUUUAAUUUUUUGAAAAAUCGAUAAUUAAUUGUUCAACGAUUUUUUAAAUGUUUUUUCAUGAAAAAUCUAUUAUUAGGACCAUUAACUAUGUAAAAAAAAUUUUUAAAAAUCAUGCAAGUUCGGGAAAUGACACUAAGUCUAUUCAAAUCAAAGCUGAGGCUACUUCCACGAGUGGAGUUACUGACAAGAGACAAUUUAACUACAAGUUGGUGUAGAUCAAGCAUGGUGUCGAGAUGGAAAUGAGAGGCCGGUGCAGUGCUGGUCAGAGGGUACUCGCCUCUAUCAUUAUUCGAUUGGCUUUGGCUGAAACACUGUCCUAACAAUGUGGAAUCCUCGCCCUCGACGAACCAACGACUAAUUAUGAAGCAAUUUCGUGAGUGAGAUAAAGUAGUGACCGAUUUGAUCGACCCCUUUCAAUGGCGCCACCAGAAACUUCUUGUAAGGUUUCCAUUGGACGGUUGAAGCUGCUCCAUAAGUGUCAGCAAUCUCCCUUAUAAUCUCUGGUACUAUACAUGGGUAAAGUUUACCCAUGUCAACAGGACCGCACCGGUAUCAACAGAAACUUGUUCCUGUUGACAGCGGUAAGACAGAAGUCGUGAUUUUGCCUAACUGAAAAUUAUUUCAGGUACGAAGACUUUGAAGAGAUGAUGUCAAUAGUGUAAAAAUGUCUUUCUUCUUAUUCAAGUUACGAAUGUUGAGACAUAUUGCAUGUCAGAAGAAUUGACACUUGCAUUUUCCAGAAUCGAGGAUAAAACCAUGAGGAUUAGAAGAGGAAGAGAAGUAUAAAUUAUCCAAAAAGACAUAA